GGGCCCGCACAAGCGGUGGAGCAUGUGCUUUAAUUCGAUGCAACGCGAAGAACCUUACCUAGGCUUGACAUGGGGGUGAAAUUCUGUAGAAAUAUGGAACCUUCCGCAAGGAACACCCUACACAGGUGCUGCAUGGUUGUCGUCAGCUCGUGUCGUGAGAUGUUAGGUUAAGUCCUGCAACGAGCGCAACCCUCGCCCUUAGUUGCUAACCUCGAUUUAUCGGGAAGAACUCUAAGGGGACUGCCUGGUUUAACCAGGAGGAAGGUGGGGAUGACGUCAAAUCCUCAUGGCCCUUACGCCUAGGGCUAGACACGUGCUACAAUGGUAGAUACAACGGGAAGCAAGCUGGUGACAGCAAGCCAAUCCCUUAAAAUCUAUCUCAGUUCGGAUUGAAGUCUGCAAUUCGACUUCAUGAAGCUGGAAUCGCUAGUAAUCGCGGAUCAGCAUGCCGCGGUGAAUACGUUCCCGGGCCUU
This 474-nucleotide ribosomal RNA is filed under the name uncultured bacterium. RNAcentral's name for it is "bacterial SSU rRNA". It matches the Rfam family "Bacterial small subunit ribosomal RNA", at positions 917 to 1382 of the family's 1533-position model. The record is from RNAcentral.